UACCAGCUCCCCGAGUGGUUGGGACGAUUAUUGGGUCUAAAGCAUCCGUAGCCGGCCGAGGAAGUUCUCCGUUAAAUCCAGCGAUUCAAUCGUUGGACUGCGGAGAAUACUCCUCGGCUAGGGGGCGGGGGAGGCCGGCGGUAGUCCCGGGGUAGGGGCGAAAUCCUAUAAUCCCGGGAGGACCACCAGUGGCGAAGGCGGCCGGCCAAAACGCGCCCGACGGUGAGGGAUGAAAGCUGGGGGAGCGAACGGG
This 253-nucleotide ribosomal RNA is filed under the name uncultured archaeon. Its description in RNAcentral is "partial 16S ribosomal RNA". It matches the Rfam family "Archaeal small subunit ribosomal RNA", at positions 474 to 727 of the family's 1478-position model. The record is from RNAcentral.